RNAcentral lists this ribosomal RNA (497 nucleotides) under uncultured bacterium. RNAcentral's name for it is "partial 16S ribosomal RNA". It matches the Rfam family "Bacterial small subunit ribosomal RNA", at positions 28 to 507 of the family's 1533-position model. The record is from RNAcentral.
GAUGAACGCUGGCGGCGUGCCUAAUACAUGCAAGUCGAGCGAACGGACGAGAAGCUUGCUUCUCUGAUGUUAGCGGCGGACGGGUGAGUAACACGUGGAUAACCUACCUAUAAGACUGGGAUAACUUCGGGAAACCGUAGCUAAUACCGGAUAAUAUUUUGAACCGCAUGGUUCAAAAGUGAAAGACGGUCUUGCUGUCACUUAUAGAUGGAUCCGCGCUGCAUUAGCUAGUUGGUAAGGUAACGGCUUACCAAGGCAACGAUGCAUAGCCGACCUGAGAGGGUGAUAGGACACAAUGGAACUGAGACACGGUACAGACUCCUACGGGAGGCAGAAGUAGGGAAUCUUACGCAAUGGGCGAAAGCCUGACGGAGCAACGCCGCGUGAGUGAUGAAGGUCUUCGGAUCGUAAAACUCUGUUAUUAGGGAAGAACAGAUGUGUAAGUAACUGUGCACAUCUUGACGGUACCUAAUCAGAAAGCCAAGGCUAACUACGUG